GAUGAACGCUAGCGGCAGGCCUAAUACAUGCAAGCCGAACGGUAAUUCUGAUAGCAAUAUUGGAACUAGAGUGGCGUAAGGGUGCGUAACACGUAUGCAAUCUACCCGCAACAGGAGGAUAGCUCCCCGAAAGGGGAAUUAACCCUCCAUGAGAUCACACGAGGGCAUCCGAGAGUGAUUAAAUUUGAGGAGGUUGUGGAUGAGCAUGCGACUGAUAGCUAGUUGGCAGUGUAACGGACUACCAAGGCGAUGAUCAGUAGGGGAACUGAGAGGUUGAU
This 278-nucleotide ribosomal RNA is filed under the name uncultured bacterium. RNAcentral's name for it is "partial 16S ribosomal RNA". It matches the Rfam family "Bacterial small subunit ribosomal RNA", at positions 28 to 304 of the family's 1533-position model. The record is from RNAcentral.